CGCGGCGGCGGCGACAUCCCGGCUCCCGCCCGCGCCGCCGCACGCACGCGCACUGCGCCCAGCAUGAGGGUCGCGGCUCUGAUCAGUGGGGGGAAGGACAGCUGUUAUAAUAUGAUGCAGUGCAUUGCUGCUGGGCAUCAGAUCGUCGCUUUAGCGAAUCUGAGACCAGCUGAAAACCAAGUGGGGUCAGAUGAACUGGAUAGCUACAUGUACCAGACAGUGGGGCAUCAUGCCAUUGAUUUGUAUGCAGAAGCGAUGUCUCUUCCCCUCUAUCGCCGCACCAUAAGAGGAAGGAGCGUGGAUACGGAACGAGUGUACACCAAAUGUGAAGGUGAUGAGGUUGAAGAUCUCUAUCAGCUUUUGAAACUUGUUAAGGGCAUCACUAGAGUGACCUUGCUUGCUGAAUAUGAUGCUCUGCAUCUCCAAGAUUUUCACAUGCAUUUGGAAGUGGGCAGUCAGGCGAUUGUUUACAGGGCUCCAAAUGAACUGUGCACUCACAGCAAGUUUGAUAAACACACAUUUCCUCCUUUUAUCAGUGAGAUUGCAGAAUGUGAAGUAUGAGUUUCCAGUUUUACUCAUUCCCCUCAACCCUUUUCCUGUUUAAAAACUUAGACAUACUAAUUGGAUGCUGAUCUGUCCCUGUUUUUUAUUCUGCUUACUGGUAGUUGAUGGCUUAUUCCAAUACUUACCUAGGCAAGGUUUGGCAAUCCUUCAAAAAUAAACUUUCCAUGUAUUCAACAUAAAGGAGAUUCAUCCCAAGGAAUGUAAUGUGAGCACUAAUUAACAGUAAUGACUGCUAAUCACUUUGCUUUUUAUACUCCUUUAGGAGCACUGCUAUUAUCCAAUGUAGUUAAGUAAAAUGCUUGUAUAUGAAUCAACAAUGCUGCAUCCUUUUAGCAACUUUUGCUCACAAUCAAGCUUUGCAUAAAUUAGAGUUAACUAAAAUUGGUUUUAAUAUGCUACGUUUCUUUCUACAAUAGUAAAGUAAAAUAUCUAGUUAAAUAUCCUGAAUAUUAAAAAGACAUCACCUGGUAUUUUUUUUUGCAAUCAUCCUUAUGGUAGAUGAGAAGCAACACUGCAAAUAAAUUUUCUCACAGUUCAUGAUAUUUUCUCUUAGAUUUCUUCAAAAUUGCAUGUGACGUACUCUUCAUAGUCACAGGAGCACUUUGAUUGUGUUGUAAGCAUUGUAUCAGAUCCAUGAAAAGCAAUAGGCUUGUAUUUAAUUUUUCUGAAUUUGUGCAUUUACUUCCUAGAGGAUCUUACAGUUUCUUUAAAUUAUAUAGCCCAUUAUAUAAACUUGGCUCAUAGGAUAGUGCAUUCAAUGUUCAUUAAAAAGGGGUGUUUUAUUAUGUUUAGUGUAUUAUUAGACUAUUAUAAAAGCUUUCUGUUUAUUUACAUGCAUUCAACAUACCUACAAACCGCCUUGCCUCAGGAGGAGACUAAGCAAAACUCAUAAAUUAAUAAUUUAAGGGAGCGAUACUCAAGUAGCAUUUUGGUUAAGUUAAUAAGUUAAAGCCUUAGCGUCAAAUCAGUGCUGGCCACUUUAACAAUGCUUUACUUUUGACUUUUAUUGGCUGAAAAUAACUUGUUAAACUGGGGCUUUUGUAAUAAAAUGAAAUCUACAUACCAUCUGAAGCCCCUGCCCUUCUUUUUGAUUUAUGAGUAGGUUGACGUAUUAUUGAAGAAUUUUUAACACUUUCACAGUUCUGCACUUUGAUUUCAGAGAAGGUGCUAAUCUCUCUGGAAGUUUGAGAGUGACAAAAUGAGUUGUAUACUGUUUUUCUAGGGAAUUUGGAAUUCUUUAUUAGUGGCCUUAGUUUUAUGAUGGUACUUGUAUUAACAUUGAUUUGUCUAACGUGUAAUGUGGUGUUGUGAUUUGAUGUACAUGAAUGGAGUAUCCUCCUUUCUCAUAUCUCUAGUUGCCUGGCCAUGAUGUUAUAAUUCUUAUAGGUGAUGUUAGUGUUUCUACAGAGGUUCAGCAAUUCAGGGCAUUAUUUUUAAAUUACCAAAAUAAAAUAAUUUAAUUUCCUUUUCACUUUUGUAUUUUUUGUAGUGGAAAAAAUUAAGUAGUAGUGUCAUAAGAAGCUUUAUAUUUUAUAUGCUAGUCUUAUUGUAAUACAUUGCAAACAUAUGUGUUUUAAAAAAACUUUUGGCACUGUAUUUAAUUGAAUUUAGUUUCAAAGAAUUGUAACAGGAAUGAUGUGAGAGAACAGAAAAUAUAUGGAAGCUUAAUUGAAUGCUAUCCAUAUGUAAUUAUAAGAUUCGUGAGUAUUGUAUGUAACUUAUUUAUUUUAUAUUCCAGUAUUAUUGCACAAUAGCACAAAAUGCAUGUGUAUGAGGAAAAACCUGCUUUUUCUGUUUUGCUUUGGGUUUGAGUUUUUAUGUGUAGUAAAAUUACAUUUAAAAAAGG
Non-coding RNA from Ceratotherium simum simum (southern white rhinoceros), 2410 nucleotides. NCBI's taxonomy places the organism in Eukaryota, Metazoa, Chordata, Mammalia, Perissodactyla, Rhinocerotidae. The record is from RefSeq and is a predicted model, not a curated record.